Molecule: long non-coding RNA, 746 nt
Organism: Megalobrama amblycephala (Wuchang bream)
Lineage: Eukaryota; Metazoa; Chordata; Actinopteri; Cypriniformes; Xenocyprididae
Exons: 2
Source: RefSeq, a predicted model, not a curated record
CUCUACCUCUGGAGGUGGAAUAUCAGGAUAAAAACACCUACAGCUGUGUGCUGAACAAUCCCAUCAGCCACCAGACUCAACAUCUGCACAUCACUCACCUCUGUCACACAUGUUCAGGUACGGCAGCGCUGAUGAUAUUAGCGUUUAUUGACUGAGCUGAUCUCACUUUGAUGUUUUUAUUCCUCAGUCCACUGUUGUGGUCCUACUGAAGCUGUGAUCCGAUUGGUCCUCUCUGCUCUGGUGGGCGUGGCUACUGUCAUUCUUGUGGUUUAUCACAUCAGAUCCAGAAGAGCUGAAGGAGAUCAAGCACAUAUUCACACAUCAGGAAGUGCUUAAAUCUGAAGCAGAACGCUGAACUUUAAAGAUUCUUCAAGUGUGUUUUUGUCAUAAUAAAAACUGAUGAUUAUUUGAGCUUCUCUUUCAGUGUCAGAUUUGUAAAACUCUUAUUUUAAGGCUUUAUUGUUUAUAUUUCUCUCAGAGACACAGAUCUCACUUUACUACUACUGCUGUAUAUUUGUCAUGUGUAUUUUACACUGUUAUUGAGGAUCAAAUUAAAAUAGCAUCUUUUUAAUGUGUCUGACGGAGUUGACACAAAUUACGUUCUGAAGUGAAUAAAUGUACAUUUUUAGAAGAAAACAUUUUCAGAAAAACCUGUUCCCUUACAUGUUCAUUAGCUGAGACCUUUGUCUACAAAUAUAUCAGUUUAUAAUAAUGUGUUAUUCAAUAAUAAAAACUAACAUCUCAAA